This 159-nucleotide non-coding RNA is filed under the name bovine gut metagenome. The record is from RNAcentral.
AUAGGUUCCGUUGGAUUAAUAGGGAAUCCUGUGCAAAACAGGAACUAUACCCGUAGCUGUGAGUUCAAUAAAAACCUUCGAAGCCAAUGGUCACUGAGAACGCUAUGUUCUUGGGAAGACUUUCGAAGUGUGGAACAAGUCAGAAGACCUGCCUAUUUA